This is a long non-coding RNA of Paramisgurnus dabryanus, 1365 nucleotides long. RefSeq lists it as uncharacterized. The record is from RefSeq and is a predicted model, not a curated record. Lineage: Eukaryota; Metazoa; Chordata; Actinopteri; Cypriniformes; Cobitidae.
AAGCCCCUGUCUGCAGCCUGCAGAUUUGGGCGGGUAUGCACCUAGGACGGUGCUGCACGUGCAGGCCCGCCCACACUGCUUCUCAUUGGUUAGUGGCGUGAAGUCAUGACGUCGAUUAUAGCAAGUUUUCAUUUCCGAUGUUUAUCGCUGCAUGGAAACCAUUUCAGUAUUCACUGAGCUUUCUGACAGUAGGGACCUUUGAUUUUACAGAGGUCAGAGAUGCUGAAAGAGCAACUCCAGUAAAAGAGGAGCGUAAAGAAGCAGGUGUUGGUUCCCAUUUCAAAUCUUGAACCUAAAUAACAGGGGUUUGAAAAUGAUGCUACUCUUGUUCUUACUCUCCAAUUUAGAGGUGAUGAAAUCCCCCGGCCUGUGGAUUAUUCGACCAAGAUGCCACCUGACCUUACAUCCUCGGGCAGAUCCUGAUGGGAGUCGUUACAAAGAGGACGAUAUGGCUUUAUGGUGACUUUCCCUGACAUGCAAGGUUUUCAGAGACGUUUUCAGCAAGCCCAAGUUCUGAGAAAAGGUCCCCUUUGUAUGUCCAAACAGUGUUGUGAACUGGAGUGCAUUUUCCAGACAAUAUGGGCAAGAGCUCCGGGUGCCCUACUCGUUGACUUUGAAAUAUACAAGGACUGCCCACCUGGAUAUGUAGGUGAUGGCAGAAGGGGAGUCCUGAAUGGGUUUUAUUCCGACAAGGAGGUUCAGGGCUAUUGCUCAUUUGAUUGUUUUUUCAAUGAUGGAGGGCAACUUCAGGCUGUGUAGAUUGUGUGUGUACGGUUAAUGUACGUGAUUAUCUGUAUGUGUAUAUUAUGUCUUUUAAACAAUUAUUUUUGUUUUGAAAUAAAAGUUAUCACUGGUAUGGGUUUGGUGUUUUUGAGUGGCAUGCAUACUAUGGGAUACAGAGAUUGACAACGUACUGUAUGUAGUUUAACUUCUUUAUAGGCAUAAAUGUUUAGUAAUAGCCUAUAUUAAGCACAAAAAUAAACAAGAACUAUUAGAGGAGUGAUUAAAAUACGAAAUAUAUAAGGUGCCAUUAAUGUUUACGGUAAUUUUGUAAUUACACAAUGAAGUGCAACAUAAUCUGAAAAACUUUUAAAAUCUACACAGAUAUUACACAAUACUCUGAAAUUCUUUAAAAGUUCACAUUAGAUCAGGCAUAAUUGAAACUAUAUGCUCUACUCCAUUAUUACUUUAUACUUUUCUUUAAUAAUAAAUCGUUUUAUUAAAGUAUUAUUUCAUAACGUCAGCGCGAUGUAGCGCACAUUUUAAAGAUCGCACCGUUUUCAACCGCAUUUCCUGUUUACCGUGGCGUCGACGUCAUUACUGUGCUACUAACCAAUGAUACGCGUUAUGGGAGGGGCUGCCUGU